This 333-nucleotide ribosomal RNA is filed under the name Triticum aestivum (bread wheat). RNAcentral's name for it is "partial small subunit ribosomal RNA". Lineage: Eukaryota; Viridiplantae; Streptophyta; Magnoliopsida; Poales; Poaceae. The record is from RNAcentral.
AUGUUUUUUCGAGCUAGUACAGAUAAAGAUCUAGCCGCAAACAUAAGGGUCACCGGUCAUGUCAGGAAUGCCAUUGUAUUAUUACCAGAAACUACUGGAUACUUCACAUCAAGAUUGACCAUGUCCCUUAUUGCUUCAGACAUUAGUUAUCUUCAUGUUGUUAUUAUACCUAGUGAUAGAGCUCCAUUGUUUCUUCAAAGGGACAAAUGGCAGAAAAUAGCAUGGUUGACACCUUUUGUUCAUACGGAGGUUGAUGUUGGCUUGGUGAUCGAAGACUUGGUCUCUUCCAUAAUAUUUUGUAGUGGUCAUGUGAUCAAACAUUUGGUCUCUUAG